RNAcentral lists this long non-coding RNA (252 nucleotides) under Mytilus galloprovincialis (Mediterranean mussel). Lineage: Eukaryota; Metazoa; Mollusca; Bivalvia; Mytilida; Mytilidae. The record is from RNAcentral.
UUCUUGAGGCCCCUCAUGGGGGGGGGGGGUCCUAGUAAUCACAUAAUCACCAUUUUUUUGCCAAUAUAAUCACAUAAUCAUUAAAUAUUUGCUUAUCUUUAGUAAUCAAAUAAUCAUAAACUAAAAAUACAGUCCUAGGUAAUCAAAUAAUCAUGAAAUAUUUGGCUUAAUAAUCAAAUAAUCAUUAAAAAAAACGGCCAAGUAAUCACAUAAUCAAAAACCCCAUGAGGGCCCUCAUUCUUGCUUUAUAUA